CUGGGCUCAAAGGUCCCUGCUGUCAGUCUGUAGUCUGAAAAGGAUACGUGUUGCCAUGUAAACUGGCUGGGCAGUAUGGAUUGCCCUCUGGGGAUCCUGACUCAUUGGCUCUAAUUCACGUGGUGCAUGUCAAUCAGCUGCUCCCUGUGGUUGUGGCCAGAGGGCCGCCAUAAUUUCUCCGGGUCAAUGGUAGAAAAUUGAUUUUCUUAUGUAUACUGCUACCAGAAAAUGAAACAUUUGCUUUCCAUGUAAUGCAAUAUUUUAUCUGUACCUGGUUUGGUUCAGGAGUCAAUGUAUAUACAUGCUUAAAUGAAA
RNAcentral lists this long non-coding RNA (315 nucleotides) under Homo sapiens (human). RNAcentral describes it as "HSALNT0159772". The record is from RNAcentral. Lineage: Eukaryota; Metazoa; Chordata; Mammalia; Primates; Hominidae.